This 554-nucleotide ribosomal RNA is filed under the name Colpoma sp. Kirschner 572. RNAcentral describes it as "eukaryotic LSU rRNA". It matches the Rfam family "Eukaryotic large subunit ribosomal RNA", at positions 86 to 654 of the family's 3401-position model. Lineage: Eukaryota; Fungi; Ascomycota; Leotiomycetes; Rhytismatales; Rhytismataceae. The record is from RNAcentral.
UCGGCGAGUGAAGCGGCAACAGCUCAAAUUUGAAAGCUGGUACUUUUAGUGCCCGCGUUGUAAUUUGUAGAGGAUGUUUCGGGUGCGGUGCCGGUCUAAGUUCUUUGGAACAAGACGUCAUAGAGGGUGAGAAUCCCGUAUGUGACUGGUUGCCUGUGCCCAUGUGAAACUCCUUCGACGAGUCGAGUAGUUUGGGAAUGCUGCUCAAAAUGGGAGGUGUAUUUCUUCUAAAGCUAAAUAUUGGCCAGAGACCGAUAGCGCACAAGUAGAGUGAUCGAAAGAUGAAAAGCACUUUGGAAAGAGAGUUAAACAGUACGUGAAAUUGUUGAAAGGGAAGCGCUUGCAAUCAGACUUGCGCGGCGUCGAUCAGCCUGGGUUUUCCCUGGUGUACUCGGCGUCGCUCAGGCCAGCAUCAGUUUCGGCGGUGGGAUAAAGGCUUAGGGAACGUGGGUUGCUUCGGUGACCGUUAUAGCCCUAGGUGCAAUGCCGCCUGUCGGGACUGAGGACCGCGCUUCGGCUAGGAUGCUGGCGUAAUGGUUGUAAGCGACCCGUCU